This 818-nucleotide ribosomal RNA is filed under the name uncultured bacterium. RNAcentral describes it as "bacterial SSU rRNA". It matches the Rfam family "Bacterial small subunit ribosomal RNA", at positions 8 to 828 of the family's 1533-position model. The record is from RNAcentral.
AGAGUUUGAUCCUGGCUCAGGAUGAACGCUGGCGGCGUGCCUAACACAUGCAAGUCGAACGAAGCGCCUUUUGAGAUUCUUCGGAUGAUUGAUCGGUGACUGAGUGGCGGACGGGUGAGUAACGCGUGGGUAACCUGCCCUGUACAGGGGGAUAACAGUUGGAAACGGCUGCUAAUACCGCAUAAGCGCACGAGAGGACAUCCUCUUGUGUGAAAAACUCCGGUGGUACAGGAUGAGCCCGCGUCUGAUUAGCUGGUUGGCAGGGUAACGGCCUACCAAGGCGACGAUCAGUAGCCGGUCUGAGAGGAUGAACGGCCACAUUGGAACUGAGACACGGUCCAAACUCCUACGGGAGGCAGCAGUGGGGAAUAUUGCACAAUGGGGGAAACCCUGAUGCAGCAACGCCGCGUGAGUGAAGAAGUAUUUCGGUAUGUAAAGCUCUAUCAGCAGGGAAGAUAAUGACGGUACCUGACUAAGAAGCUCCGGCUAAAUACGUGCCAGCAGCCGCGGUAAUUCGUAUGGAGCAAGCGUUAUCCGGAUUUACUGGGUGUAAAGGGUGCGUAGGUGGCAGUGCAAGUCAGAUGUGAAAGGCCGGGGCUCAACCCCGGAGCUGCAUUUGAAACUGCUCGGCUAGAGUACAGGAGAGGCAGGCGGAGUUCCUAGUGUAGCGGUGAAAUGCGUAGAUAUUAGGAGGAACGCCAGUGGCGAAGGCGGUCUGCUGGACAGCAACUGACGCUGAGGCGCGAAAGCGUGGGGAGCAAACAGGAUUAGAUACCCUGGUAGUCCACGCUGUAAACGAUGGAUACUAGGUGUGGGGG